CCUUCCUCCCAUGUUUCUAUUUUCUCUCUGUCUCUUUAGUGUGUUGGCCAACACUCUCUCUUAAUCUGUCCUGUCCUUUCCUUGUGCCAUCUCCCUUCUUAGGACACAGGCAGGCCUGUGAGGUGUGCAUCUCCACAGGUUAGGUCUUGAAAGCCCUGGAGUAGUAGGAGGGGACGAAAACCAUGCGGGGUAGUGGGUGCGAGAGUGGAGCAGUGACUGUCAGUGUUGAAUCGGUCUCUGUUCAAGUGGGGCUGAUGUAGAUGGGUGGAAGAGGGAGGCAGGAUUGAGGGCAACAUUUCAAGCACCAUUAGAACUGUGUGUAGAGAUGGCGCAUGCUUGGCUUUUGCAGCUGCAUUUCCAGAGGAAUUGUCCAGGAGCUUGAGCCGGAGGAGAAACUGGCAGAGGUGGAUCUGAGCAGCUUGGACAUGGUUCUAACCAGACAGGAACAGUCCUCAGCUUUCUGCCUUCUGAACACCUGGCUGUGAGUAAGCGGUCAGUGCUUUCAAUUCCUUAUCUGUACUCGCUGUAGUUUACUUCACAGGCCUUGUGCUUCCUCCUUGGAAAGGACCCCUCUUCCUUGUGACGCAGUCCUGUUAGUAGGGUUAGGUGCACCCACGUGCUGGCUCCGAAUACCACCGCAUGUGAUUACAACACCUGAACAUCAACACAUUUCAGAAAGGACCGCCACAUCAAUCCCUUCGGACGUAGCCCUAGGAAUCUCCUCUGUCUAUCUCCAAAGAGAGACAAGGCCUGGAAUUUGGACACAGCUGAGGGAGCUGUCCGAAUCUCUACAGUUGAACACUCAUCAGUGCGACGGUGUCUUUCUUGUGCACAAGAAAACAAAGGGUCAAAGUUGUGGUUGGUUGAGCGGUGUAAAUUGGGCAGGGCAAAAGGACUUGCGGAAGGAUGAGGUGGAAGUGAGGGUGUGAAAGGAGCCCCCCACCUCACCUGUUCAUUUCUAGACGGUGUGACAUUUGCAUGGUUGGGCCAUUUCUUGGCUUUUUUGAGAAAAGGGGCGAAUUUUCCCAUGGCUUCCACCAUCCCCUUACAGCUGCCCCUUCGCCACACUAUGUUGCAUCUGACCUGGAUAGGUCGCAAGUAAGAUUUCACUUCAAAUCUCAAAGUCCAGUAGAAAUAAUUGUGGGGGAAUUUCCUGUCACUAAGAGAAACAGAAGCUCAAGCCUUCUCAAGGGGUGGGGUGUCGCUCAGCCACAGGCACAAAAAGGCUCCCCUAGUUUAAGCGUGCGAGGGAUAAGACGUUACAGCCUCGUUACAGGGCAGUCAUUUUGCCGGGCAUGUCAAAGUGACCUGUGGUUUAAUUUGCUUGGCAAAGGAGACCCAAACCUUCCUUACAGGGUGGUCCUUAAGCCAGGGGCGUUCGAAUGGGGCAGAGAG
Molecule: long non-coding RNA, 1395 nt
Organism: Mauremys reevesii (Reeves's turtle)
Lineage: Eukaryota; Metazoa; Chordata; Testudines; Geoemydidae
Exons: 2
Source: RefSeq, a predicted model, not a curated record